AAAUUCGUAGCUUAAAUGGUAAAGCAACGACCUUCUAAGUCGUAUAAUGCUGGUUCGAUUCCAGUCGAAAUUA
RNAcentral lists this transfer RNA (73 nucleotides) under Vannella croatica. RNAcentral describes it as "tRNA-Arg". It matches the Rfam family "tRNA". From Rfam's summary of the family: Transfer RNA (tRNA) molecules are approximately 80 nucleotides in length. The record is from RNAcentral. Lineage: Eukaryota; Discosea; Flabellinia; Vannellidae.